RNAcentral lists this transfer RNA (73 nucleotides) under Camelus ferus (Wild Bactrian camel). It matches the Rfam family "tRNA". Rfam says of the family: Transfer RNA (tRNA) molecules are approximately 80 nucleotides in length. The record is from Rfam by way of RNAcentral. Lineage: Eukaryota; Metazoa; Chordata; Mammalia; Artiodactyla; Camelidae.
GAGAGUAUAGCUCAAGUGGUAGAGUACAUGUUUAGUAUGCAUGAGACCCUGGGUUCAAUCCCUAGUACCCUCC